GGGUUGUGAGGUUAAGCGACUAAGCGUACACGGUGGAUGCCCUGGCAGUCAGAGGCGAUGAAGGACGUGCUAAUCUGCGAAAAGCGCCGGCGAGGUGAUAUGAACCUUUGACCCGGCGAUGUCCGAAUGGGGAAACCCAGUGCAAUCCGUUGCACUAUCGUUAACUGAAUACAUAGGUUAACGAGGCGAACCGGGGGAACUGAAACAUCUAAGUACCCCGAGGAAAAGAAAUCAACCGAGAUUCCCCCAGUAGCGGCGAGCGAACGGGGAGCAGCCCGGAGUCUGAAUCAGCUUGUGUGUUAGUGGAACGGUCUGGAAAGUCCGACGGUACAGGGUGAUAGUCCCGUACACGAAAGCACACUUGCUGUGAACUCGAAGAGUAGGGCGGGACACGUGGUAUCCUGUCUGAAUAUGGGGGGACCAUCCUCCAAGGCUAAAUACUCCUGACUGACCGAUAGUGAACCAGUACCGUGAGGGAAAGGCGAAAAGAACCCCGGCGAGGGGAGUGAAAAAGAACCUGAAACCGUGUACGUACAAGCAGUGGGAGCCUCUUUAUGGGGUGACUGCGUACCUUUUGUAUAAUGGGUCAGCGACUUAUAUUCUGUAGCAAGGUUAACCGUAUAGGGGAGCCGAAGGGAAACCGAGUCUUAACUGGGCGUUAAGUUGCAGGGUAUAGACCCGAAACCCGGUGAUCUAGCCAUGGGCAGGUUGAAGGUUGGGUAACACUAACUGGAGGACCGAACCGACUAAUGUUGAAAAAUUAGCGGAUGACCUGUGGCUGGGGGUGAAAGGCCAAUCAAACCGGGAGAUAGCUGGUUCUCCCCGAAAGCUAUUUAGGUAGCGCCUCGUGAACUCAUCUUCGGGGGUAGAGCACUGUUUCGGCUAGGGGGCCAUCCCGGCUUACCAACCCGAUGCAAACUACGAAUACCGAAGAAUGUUAUCACGGGAGACACACGGCGGGUGCUAACGUCCGUCGUGAAGAGGGAAACAACCCAGACCGCCAGCUAAGGUCCCAAAGUCAUGGUUAAGUGGGAAACGAUGUGGGAAGGCACAGACAGCCAGGAUGUUGGCUUAGAAGCAGCCAUCAUUUAAAGAAAGCGUAAUAGCUCACUGGUCGAGUCGGCCUGCGCGGAAGAUGUAACGGGGCUAAACCAUGCACCGAAGCUGCGGCAGCGACACUAUGUGUUGUUGGGUAGGGGAGCGUUCUGUAAGCCGUUGAAGGUGUGCUGUGAGGCAUGCUGGAGGUAUCAGAAGUGCGAAUGCUGACAUAAGUAACGAUAAAGCGGGUGAAAAGCCCGCUCGCCGGAAGACCAAGGGUUCCUGUCCAACGUUAAUCGGGGCAGGGUGAGUCGACCCCUAAGGCGAGGCCGAAAGGCGUAGUCGAUGGGAAACAGGUUAAUAUUCCUGUACUUGGUGUUACUGCGAAGGGGGGACGGAGAAGGCUAUGUCAGCCGGGCGACGGUUGUCCCGGUUUAAGCAUGUAGGCGGAGGUUCCAGGUAAAUCCGGUACCUUUUAACGCUGAGGUGUGAUGACGAGGCACUACGGUGCUGAAGUGAUAAAUGCCCUGCUUCCAGGAAAAGCCUCUAAGCAUCAGGUAACACGAAAUCGUACCCCAAACCGACACAGGUGGUCAGGUAGAGAAUACCAAGGCGCUUGAGAGAACUCGGGUGAAGGAACUAGGCAAAAUGGUGCCGUAACUUCGGGAGAAGGCACGCUGAUGUGUAGGUGAAGCCCCUGCGUGUGGAGCUGAAAUCAGUCGAAGAUACCAGCUGGCUGCAACUGUUUAUUAAAAACACAGCACUGUGCAAACACGAAAGUGGACGUAUACGGUGUGACGCCUGCCCGGUGCCGGAAGGUUAAUUGAUGGGGUUAGCGGCAACGCGAAGCUCUUGAUCGAAGCCCCGGUAAACGGCGGCCGUAACUAUAACGGUCCUAAGGUAGCGAAAUUCCUUGUCGGGUAAGUUCCGACCUGCACGAAUGGCGUAAUGAUGGCCAGGCUGUCUCCACCCGAGACUCAGUGAAAUUGAACUCGCUGUGAAGAUGCAGUGUACCCGCGGCAAGACGGAAAGACCCCGUGAACCUUUACUAUAGCUUGACACUGAACACUGGUCCUUGAUGUGUAGGAUAGGUGGGAGGCUUUGAAGCGUGGACGCCAGUCUGCGUGGAGCCAACCUUGAAAUACCACCCUUUAAUGGCUGGUGUUCUAACGUAGACCCGUAAUCCGGGUUGCGGACAGUGUCUGGUGGGUAGUUUGACUGGGGCGGUCUCCUCCCAAAGAGUAACGGAGGAGCACGAAGGUUGGCUAAUCCUGGUCGGACAUCAGGAGGUUAGUGCAAUGGCAUAAGCCAGCUUGACUGCGAGCGUGACGGCGCGAGCAGGUGCGAAAGCAGGUCAUAGUGAUCCGGUGGUUCUGAAUGGAAGGGCCAUCGCUCAACGGAUAAAAGGUACUCCGGGGAUAACAGGCUGAUACCGCCCAAGAGUUCAUAUCGACGGCGGUGUUUGGCACCUCGAUGUCGGCUCAUCACAUCCUGGGGCUGAAGUAGGUCCCAAGGGUAUGGCUGUUCGCCAUUUAAAGUGGUACGCGAGCUGGGUUUAGAACGUCGUGAGACAGUUCGGUCCCUAUCUGCCGUGGGCGCUGGAGAAUUGAGGGGGGCUGCUCCUAGUACGAGAGGACCGGAGUGGACGCAUCACUGGUGUUCGGGUUGUCAUGCCAAUGGCACUGCCCGGUAGCUAAAUGCGGAAGAGAUAAGUGCUGAAAGCAUCUAAGCACGAAACUUGCCCCGAGAUGAGUUCUCCCUGAGACCUUGAGUCUCCUGAAGGAACGUUGAAGACGACGACGUUGAUAGGUCGGGUGUGUAAGCGCAGCGAUGCGUUGAGCUAACCGAUACUAAUGAACCGUGAGGCUUAACCUUACAACGCCGAAGGUGUUU
This 2931-nucleotide ribosomal RNA is filed under the name Enterobacter hormaechei. RNAcentral's name for it is "23S ribosomal RNA". It matches the Rfam family "Bacterial large subunit ribosomal RNA". The record is from RNAcentral. Lineage: Bacteria; Pseudomonadati; Pseudomonadota; Gammaproteobacteria; Enterobacterales; Enterobacteriaceae.